GUGGGGAAUCUUGCGCAAUGGGCGAAAGCCUGACGCAGCCAUGCCGCGUGAAUGAUGAAGGUCUUAGGAUUGUAAAAUUCUUUCACCGGGGACGAUAAUGACGGUACCCGGAGAAGAAGCCCCGGCUAACUUCGUGCCAGCAGCCGCGGUAAUACGAAGGGGGCUAGCGUUGCUCGGAAUUACUGGGCGUAAAGGGCGCGUAGGCGGAUCGUUAAGUCAGGGGUGAAAUCCCAGAGCUCAACUCUGGAACUGCCCUUGAUACUGGCGAUCUUGAGUGUGAGGGAGGUAUGUGGAACUCCGAGUGUAGAGGUGAAAUUCGUAGAUAUUCGGAAGAACACCAGUGGCGAAGGCGACAUACUGGCUCAUUACUGACGCUGAGGCGCGAAAGCGUGGGGAGCAAACAGGAUUAGAAACCCCAGUAGUCC
This 425-nucleotide ribosomal RNA is filed under the name uncultured bacterium. RNAcentral's name for it is "partial 16S ribosomal RNA". It matches the Rfam family "Bacterial small subunit ribosomal RNA", at positions 354 to 796 of the family's 1533-position model. The record is from RNAcentral.